UCUCUGCCUGAGACCUUCCCAGGUCGGAGAAGACCAGGGCCGCAUCCUUCUCACUGGGCCCGGAUCGUUACAAAGCUGAGCGCUAAAGAUCCUCCAGAUAGACUUGAAAAUGCAUGGACUUGCUUCAAGACUCUCAGCCAUGAACCUUUUUAGAGGAUCCUGGCUUUGCUGCUGGAAAUCUUUUAAGUCCAGAACUGCCUCUCUGAGCAGAACUGGGAGGAACCCCACUCUUUAUCACACAUACUUAAGUCAGGAAGUGCUAGUCCAUAACAGUACAAAUUGGAUGUGAAUACUGUUGACGCCAUCUGUGUGCUGUUUUACCGCACCAGUCACUUGACAUUUCGCCUGCAUCCAAGAGGUACCAGGUGCUGCUCAUAAGCCACCGAGGCCGUUUUCUGAUAUGCCGCAAUACAGUCGCCGGAGAGUCGUGACCUACUGGGCCUUUGGCACAACACAACGGCUGCUAAUUGCGAAGACGUGUUGUUUUAAGAUGUUAAAGGCAUGACAAGAACAGGCACUCUGGACCUGGACAGAUUGCAGGAGCUGAAUCAUUGAUGCCGGAUGGCAAGGCUGCCUUGAGCACAGAGCUUGCCAGAGAAGGAGGAGCACGUGGCCAGGAUGCUGUUUCCAA
This 631-nucleotide long non-coding RNA is filed under the name Pogona vitticeps (central bearded dragon). Its description in RNAcentral is "lncRNA (ENSPVIG00000005752.1)". The record is from RNAcentral. Lineage: Eukaryota; Metazoa; Chordata; Lepidosauria; Squamata; Agamidae.